Molecule: RNA transcript, 1283 nt
Organism: Mastomys coucha (southern multimammate mouse)
Lineage: Eukaryota; Metazoa; Chordata; Mammalia; Rodentia; Muridae
Gene: Znf385d
Gene name: zinc finger protein 385D
Exons: 2
Source: RefSeq, a predicted model, not a curated record
GUAAGCUGGAAAAGAAGAGAUGAGGGUGGGAUGGAUAAACUUUGCUUUGACUUGUGGGCACGAAGUUGGUUUAUUUAGCUAGAUGGAGGAGAUGUGGUGAAGCGUGGGGAAGUCAUAGGCUAACUUAAUGGAAUGCGGGACAAAGUUCCCACACGACUGAUGUCCUGCGAGCCUAGUAAACAUGAAUGUCUUCUUUAGCAUUUGGAUUUUUCCUGUUUCAGACGCAGGGAAACAAUGUUGUACGAGCAGUCCUUCCCAGCCGGGUGAUACUUCAGGCUAGGAGAGGAUAGCACCAAAUGCUUAUUACUUUAAACCUACCGAGGUCAUGAGGCUGAUAAAUAUGUGUAGGUACGGUUUAGUUUGGGGCUGCCGAGGAGCGUUCCCUUAGCUGUUCAGCUGAGCUGUUUGCCUUUGCAGAAAGCAUGGAGAGGCUUAGAUGUGGGGUCUAGGCUGAGCACUGUGAACAGGCUGGGAGCUGAGUUGUACCUUCUCAGUGCAACGCUGCAGCUUACAUCUGAGAAAAGGCAGUGAGACCUUCACUUCUGAGAAGAGACAAAGGAAUUAGACGGAGGAGCCUUUCCUCCUCCCUGGAGUUAUGCUUUCAUUCUGUAAGUCCCAGCCGGUGUCAUCGCUUAACAGCAUCUAUCUGAUAUUAAAAGGUGGCACAUGCCAGAGUCCUGCUCUCCCAGCCCUGAUCCGUCCACCAGCCCCUCCUUUGCAGCCAUCAUUGGAUAUUAAGCCUUUUCUUCCCUUUCCUCUUGACACUGCCGCGGCAGUCAACCUAUUUCCGAAUUUUAAUGCGGUGAGUGUCCGAUCCAACAUUUUUCCUGUCUGUGAUGAAUGAUAAUGCAUAAAGGAUUAGGGGAUGGGGUGGUUGAGUCAGUUACUCCUUCUGUCUUGAAGGAUUGUUUAUCCCACAUGUUUCUGUAUGUCAUCGUGAAGUUGGAUGUCCAUCUAGAAAAAUAAUGUUCAAGGGGCCAGGCUCCUGGUGUGGAGAGUGGUGAAAGAGAAUUCAUUGGUUGGUUACCAGUUGAUGUGAUAUGUGAGAAUCUUUUUUGUAAAGCAGACAGCACUGUAUUUCUUUGGGCGGAGGGAACUUGUGAAAUUGAAGUUGAACUAAUUUAUUAUGAAAUUCAAUGUGGCCUUAUUACAUGUGAGUCUUUCAACAUGCCUCAAAUCUAUAAUUCUUUCUUAUUGUAAUAAUUAGAACCAUGAAAGUAGUCAGAAUUGAAGAUGGUGCUCCCAAAUCAAUCGUUUUCCAUCUCUUUCUAACUUCUAUCCAA